This 253-nucleotide ribosomal RNA is filed under the name uncultured bacterium. Its description in RNAcentral is "partial 16S ribosomal RNA". It matches the Rfam family "Bacterial small subunit ribosomal RNA", at positions 524 to 776 of the family's 1533-position model. The record is from RNAcentral.
UACGGAGGGGGCUAGCGUUGUCCGAAGUUACUGGGCGUAAAGCGCACGUAGGCGGAUUUGUAAGUCAGGGGUGAAAUCCCGGGGCUCAACCUCGGAACUGCCUUUGAUACUGCAAAUCUCGAGUCCGAUAGAGGUGGGUGGAAUUCCUAGUGUAGAGGUGAAAUUCGUAGAUAUUAGGAAGAACACCGGUGGCGAAGGCGGCCCACUGGAUCGGUACUGACGCUGAGGUGCGAAAGCGUGGGGAGCAAACAGG